Molecule: unclassified non-coding RNA, 377 nt
Filed under: uncultured Gemmatimonadaceae bacterium
Lineage: Bacteria; Pseudomonadati; Gemmatimonadota; Gemmatimonadia; Gemmatimonadales; Gemmatimonadaceae
Description: contains 16S-23S intergenic spacer region
Source: RNAcentral
UCCGGUUUGUCACCGGCAGUCUCAUUAGAGUGCCCAACUGAAUGUAGCAACUAAUGACAAGGGUUGCGCUCGUUGCGGGACUUAACCCAACAUCUCACGACACGAGCUGACGACAGCCAUGCAGCACCUGUGCACGGACUCCGAAGAGGGCCUCCUGUUUCCAGGAAGUUUCCCGUGCAUGUCAAGCCUAGGUAAGGUUCUGCGCGUUGCGUCGAAUUAAACCACAUGCUCCACCGCUUGUGCGGGCCCCCGUCAAUUCCUUUGAGUUUCAGCCUUGCGGCCGUACUCCCCAGGCGGGGCACUUCAUGCGUUAGCGCCGGUACCCUGAGGGUCGCUCCCCAAAGCACCUAGUGCCCAUCGUUUACGGCGUGGACUAC